Long non-coding RNA from Syngnathus acus (greater pipefish), 821 nucleotides. RefSeq lists it as uncharacterized. The record is from RefSeq and is a predicted model, not a curated record. NCBI's taxonomy places the organism in Eukaryota, Metazoa, Chordata, Actinopteri, Syngnathiformes, Syngnathidae. The transcript has 3 exons.
GUUGUGGAACUUGAUAGAAGGCUUAUUUAUAAACUUUCUGAACCCUAAAUUCCUCCUUCAGAGAAAACACUGAGACACAAAGAGUGGGGGUGGGGGUCAGAUGAAAUGCUCGCGUAUGAACACAACAACAACUGGACAAUCCAUAAACUACUGAAAUGAGGAAAUUUACAAGCCACCUGAUCAAGCUUGCUUUGGGAGUGACUGAAGGACAAGCAACACACAAAGUCAUAUCCAAUCACAAAAAAUUCACCACAUUGAAGGAAUAACACACGAAAACAACCAAUUGGGGUGGAAGGCCGCCUCCAAGUGCUCACUUCACAGCAGUGAUCUCUGAUCGCCUGGACAAGUUACGUCAUCCAACCAUGAAGUUGCACAGAUGAACUAUCCAGGGGCCCGCACCUUCAUCCUUCACUCCACUGCUAAUCAUGAAGUUUUCAUCCAAAAAGACGACAAUAAUAAAAGAGCCAGCCAAGGAUAUCCCUCAUAAUGAAUUUACACCACAACGCAAGACAACAUCUUCAAAAAGGGAAUAUGUUUUAAUGCCAUCUGCAGUAGGCACCUGGGAAGUUGAGCUUUGUGAAGCAGAGUGAGGAGGGAAAUCAAGUUUUUUUGGAACAGACAAUGAGCAUUUAAAUAAGAAAUGGAAUCCGAGCACACUUCAAUUCCCAUAUUAUGUAUGAAAGGAACACAAAUAAUAUUGAAAUGAAAACUGAGACCAGAUGGCCUUGAACGUGUGUUCUGUCGGGGCCACGGGUCACCCAGGCGUCAAGAGUAGCAGGCCGUUGAUGGGGAGAAAGGAAACGCAUUUCCAGUCAAACUGU